AGUAAGCAGAAAAACAAGUUUUCAGCUUCCUGGAGUCCGGCGAGGAGGCUCAGAACUGCUGGCCUGGCUCUGGGAGGUGUCUCGAGGUGGGGACCCCUCUCUCCUGCAGCCCUGCCGUGCACUCUCUUGGCUGACGCCCCACUUGCUAGAACACAGGAAGGUUGCCUUGUGCAUUGGUUCCCUCCUCAUGCCUGACCGAUGAGCCACUGGGUAGAUACUUCUGGGUGGAAAUCGUGGUCCUGGGAAUGCAAAGACUGCUCUGCUGCCCGCCGCCUCCAGAGUCACUGAGGAGACUGAAGGUAUGCUGAGUCUUGAGCCCCCGCCUAGGAACUUUUCCUUUCUUUCUGGAAGCUUCCAGAAUUGCCUCCUGAUUCCAGGUGCUUGGAAACGUUGCCCCGAGAUGCCCGGAUGUGGGGCUUUACCCAUUUCACCGCGCUGGGUCCUCAGGGUCCUUUCCUUAUGGAUGCAUGUGUCCUGUCCGCUUGUCCUUCCGAUUUUCUUAUAUUUUUUCUUCAAUAGCAGACAAAAUCUGCUGGGGUUGGAAUGUCCUCGGGAUCCUCCUGUUCACACAUUCACUUAAGAAAUGUUUGUGGAGCACCCACCACAUGCCAGGUGCAGGACUAAGAGACGUCAUUCUGAAGUUACCCCAAUAACCAAUAGGCAGUCGCUACGGAGACCUGCACCAGGCAAGCAUGUGGGAGAAGGGCCUGAUCUGAUCUGCAGUCAAGGGAGGCUGCCCUGAGGAGGUGAUGAUUGGGCCAAGACCUCAAGGAUGUCUGGGAGUUGGCUAGAUGAAGGGGGAAAGCUGGCCUCAGAGAGUUCCCAUUGGGUGGGCAGCAGUGGGCCCAUUCAGGAGGAAUCAGACCCCAAGGCUCCAAGGAGGCCACUGGCUGAUCGGGCUGGAAAAGCAGAAGGUUGGCCCAGGGAGCCGUUGACGGCAGGCAGAGGACAGUGAAGGUCCCAUUGAGAGGACCACCCCCCGGCCCUGUCCUUGGCCGUGUCUCUAAGAUACUCCAUCUUUAGAGCAUCUGACGAGGUGGGGAGACGGUCGGCCCCCUCCACAGAUUAGGAAACAGGCCUGUGCCCAUGGCCUCGCUGCCCGGGCCUGCCUCAGGGCUCCACCCCUUGCACACGCAACCCCGAGAGCGAGUGCCUCGCUCCCCUCACCCGAGGCCCGUCUUUAUUUAAAACAUUGAUAUUUUGUUCAUCAUGAUUUCUUUUUAUUAAUUUUGAUCCUUUAAAAUGCUGCGUUAAAAUAUUGGCAAUUUCUUUAAAAACUAAACAUGCCGCCACCAUGUGACCCAGCAAUUGCAUGUGGGGCGUUUAUCCCAGAGAAACGAAGACUGUGUUCGCAGAGACCUGUACCCAAACACUGGCCGCCAUUUAGUGUGUGGUCACCCAAAGCCAGCAUCUGCCGGGACAUCCUCCAGGGGACAAACAGACGCACUGCAGCCCGUCCACACCGUGGAGCCCUGCUCAGCCAUGAAAAGGAAGAAACUAUUGAACGAACACGCGGCAAUGUGGGAACACCUCAGGGCGUCACGCUGAGUAAAAAGCCAAUCCUAAAGUUCACGUGCCAUAUGACCCCACGCACAGAGUCCUUUUGGAAUGACACAUUUUAGAAAUGGAGAACAGGUCAGCAGAUGCCGGGGCUCAGGGAGGGGGCUGGAGAGGGG
RNAcentral lists this long non-coding RNA (1676 nucleotides) under Equus caballus (horse). RNAcentral describes it as "lncRNA (ENSECAG00000052652.1)". The record is from RNAcentral. Lineage: Eukaryota; Metazoa; Chordata; Mammalia; Perissodactyla; Equidae.